Harmonia axyridis is the source of this 598-nucleotide long non-coding RNA. RefSeq lists it as uncharacterized. The record is from RefSeq and is a predicted model, not a curated record. Lineage: Eukaryota; Metazoa; Arthropoda; Insecta; Coleoptera; Coccinellidae. The transcript has 2 exons.
UGGCCAGACUUAUUUCUAUGGAAUACCUUCUUUCACUCCAAACGUCUUUUUGACUUUCGCCAUGUCAAACAAUGUGUUCACCGCGCUGUGCCAGAAUAAGUACGUUUAUCUUCUUGGCCAUAACUUUAUGUUGGGAUAUCUUAUUGACCACAUGUUUGAUUUUGAUGGAUUAUGUCUAUUUCGCCUUCAUUCCCAUCUUGACUGUCCACUACGUCCUUGGAUUCUGUGGAUGAUGUGAUCUACGUAACCAUCACGCCAGUGGCCAAAAUAACACUGUUCAAGAUGGCCUACUCGGAGUUCAACGACAAAUUUGGAAAAAGCGUUAUCAUGGCAGGUCAUGAAGAGAAAAUAGAAAGAAAUGACGAAGAUGUUUAUUAUGAUGUCAAGAACCAGAUGAAGUGGGCGUUGAAAGGGAUUGAGGAACCAAGGCCGCGAAUUCUCAAAUAUCUCAGUAUUUAUACUCUUCGCUUCUUCUCGAAUUGCGCCACUUUUAUAACUGCUAUCGUUUUUAUUAAAUGGUUAUUAAAAAAAGAACUGAUAUAAUUUAUAUCUGGAAUAUUUACUAUUUUCAAUAAAUCACCUAUAUUGAGCCAUGGAA